This is a long non-coding RNA of Carassius carassius (crucian carp), 765 nucleotides long. RefSeq lists it as uncharacterized. NCBI's taxonomy places the organism in Eukaryota, Metazoa, Chordata, Actinopteri, Cypriniformes, Cyprinidae. The record is from RefSeq and is a predicted model, not a curated record. The transcript is spliced from 5 exons.
GUUUGGAGCUCGCUUGCCCGUCAAACCCGGACGCUGGUUCGCAGAUUUCGUUGGUGUUUAGUUCGGAGUAAACGACAUCUGCUGUCUCCAGACCUGGGGAACUGGCUUUGUCUUGUACCUGCACAAAAACAUUUGAUUUUAAGCCAAUCUAAGGGAGAUAUUUCAAAAUUGUUCUAUCUGGGAACAGGAAAAACUAAAAAAAUCAAGGUGUUUGCAGCAGACUAAGUGAUGAGCAACGAGAUAAAGUUACACCUCAGUCCACUCAUCCCUGAAGCAAAAAGAAAAAAAAAAAGAAAGAAAAAAGCAUGGUAAAUCUUGAGCACAGCCUGGUUGAAGUCCUUGGAUUGGUCCGCGAAUACGUAGUGACCUGCACCCUGAAUGACCUUAAAGGAAUUGGGAAGAAAAAGUGGGCCUACCAGCCUAAGCAGACCAAGAGGGUUAAAUGGAUUCAUUGCUGCUCCGAAUACUUUAAUCCAGAUGGGAACCCAAUGCUCCUGAACAUUUGGUCUUGCUGCAAAACCCCAAGGCUCCACCAACACCAAGUGCUUCAAUCUGUGACAAAAUCAUCAUAGCAGACAUUAAAAGUAUCCUUGAAUGAUUCAGGAUUGCUAAAAUGUUAUUUGAAUUCCAAACACACCUGUGAGGAUAUUUCAGGGCAUAUGCAGUGGACACAUAUCCACCAAGAUCAUGGCCAAGAAGAAUCAUAUAUUCCAACCCUUCUGCUUUUCUCCAGUCCUCCAGGGCUUGUACAAACUGCUCCUCUGC